AGUGAACGCUGGCGGUAGGCCUAACACAUGCAAGUCGAACGGCAGCACAGUAAGAGCUUGCUCUUACGGGUGGCGAGUGGCGGACGGGUGAGGAAUACAUCGGAAUCUACUUUUUCGUGGGGGAUAACGUAGGGAAACUUACGCUAAUACCGCAUACGACCUACGGGUGAAAGCAGGGGAUCUUCGGACCUUGCGCGAUUGAAUGAGCCGAUGUCGGAUUAGCUAGUUGGCGGGGUAAAGGCCCACCAAGGCGACGAUCCGUAGCUGGUCUGAGAGGAUGGUCAGCCACCCUGGAACUGAGACACGGUCCAGACACCUGCGGUGGGCAGCAGUGGGGAAUAUUGGGCAAUGGGGGCAAGCCUGAUCCAGCCAUACCGCGUGAGUGAAGAAGGCCUUCGGGUUGUAAAGCCCUUUUGUUGGGAAAGAAAAGCAGCAGGUUAAUACCCCGCUGUUCUGACGGUACCCAAAGAAUAAGCACCGGCUAACUUCGUG
RNAcentral lists this ribosomal RNA (492 nucleotides) under uncultured bacterium. RNAcentral describes it as "partial 16S ribosomal RNA". It matches the Rfam family "Bacterial small subunit ribosomal RNA", at positions 29 to 507 of the family's 1533-position model. The record is from RNAcentral.